This 253-nucleotide ribosomal RNA is filed under the name uncultured bacterium. Its description in RNAcentral is "partial 16S ribosomal RNA". It matches the Rfam family "Bacterial small subunit ribosomal RNA", at positions 524 to 776 of the family's 1533-position model. The record is from RNAcentral.
UACGGGGGGGGCAAGCGUUGUCCGGAAUUAUUGGGCGUAAAGAGCUCGUAGGCGGUCUGUUGCGUCCGCUGUGAAAACUCGGGGCUUAACCCCGAGCCUGCAGUGGAUACGGGCAGACUAGAGGUAGGUAGGGGAGAAUGGAAUUCCCGGUGUAGCGGUGAAAUGCGCAGAUAUCAGGAGGAACACCGGUGGCGAAGGCGGGUCUCUGGGCCGAUACUGACGCUGAGGAGCGAAAGCGUGGGGAGCGAACAGG